UGCCAGAUGGACUUGUGACUCAUGAUUAAGU
Molecule: non-coding RNA, 31 nt
Filed under: Rattus norvegicus (Norway rat)
Lineage: Eukaryota; Metazoa; Chordata; Mammalia; Rodentia; Muridae
Source: RNAcentral